AUUGAACGCUGGCGGCAUGCCUUACACAUGCAAGUCGAACGGCAGCGGACCUUCGGGUGCCGGCGAGUGGCGAACGGGUGAGUAAUAUAUCGGAACGUACCUUUCAGUGGGGGAUAACGUAGCGAAAGUUACGCUAAUACCGCAUAUUCUGUGAGCAGGAAAGCAGGGGAUCGCAAGACCUUGCGCUGAUUGAGCGGCCGAUAUCAGAUUAGCUAGUUGGUGAGGUAAGGCUCACCAAGGCGACGAUCUGUAGCGGGUCUGAGAGGAUGAUCCGCCACACUGGAACUGAGACACGGUCCAGACUCCGUACGGGA
RNAcentral lists this ribosomal RNA (314 nucleotides) under uncultured bacterium. RNAcentral describes it as "bacterial SSU rRNA". It matches the Rfam family "Bacterial small subunit ribosomal RNA", at positions 30 to 346 of the family's 1533-position model. The record is from RNAcentral.